GCCUGUGUGGCUCAGUCGGUUGAGCACCUGUCUUUGGCUCAGGUCAUGAUCUCAUGACUCGUGGGUUCGAGCCCCGCGUGGGGCU
This 85-nucleotide transfer RNA is filed under the name Felis catus (domestic cat). It matches the Rfam family "tRNA". From Rfam's summary of the family: Transfer RNA (tRNA) molecules are approximately 80 nucleotides in length. RNAcentral also lists the same sequence under 2 other names. The record is from Rfam by way of RNAcentral. Lineage: Eukaryota; Metazoa; Chordata; Mammalia; Carnivora; Felidae.